CUCUUGUAACUGCGUUUAGCUGGUAAGGCACCCAAGGCUGCCUGUGACAGGGGAGCCUUUCUGGAGAGGCUGGAUUUGUUCCCACGGAAAUAGCGGAGGUACCAGGAGAGCAGAGUGGAAGCUGUAAGACCUCUUGAGACCCAGGUGUGGAAUAAACACAACGUUUCUUCUGCCACAUUCUUUCGGUUCAUCAACUCAUAAGCCCAGCCCAGAUUUAAGGGGCAUAAAAUACAUUCCGUUUCUUGAUGGAGGAGCUGAAAGAAUUGGUGCAAUAUUUGCCGUCUACCAGGCAAGAGGCGGAAUAAGAAAGUCACACAACCCUCUAGGUGGGCCAAGGAGGAUAAUGGAAAAAGAACCACCCCCCAGAAGGCAUUGCCUAGAGACUCGAAGAGCAAAGACAAGGUUGCUUCUUUCCAAGAACAGAAUCAAGACUUAAAGACUUCUCUGUAUACAGAGAAUGGAAGACCUUAAGAAUGUCUGCCCAGAGGAUUUCAGAUUUGCUACAAACCUGUGGCUGGGGACAUGGGUUUGAUCCCAGAUGGGGAACUAAGAUCCCACAUGCCACAGGGCAACUAAGCCCGCGCCACAACUACUGAGCUCGUGUAUCUCAAUGAGAGAGCCCGCGUCCUGCAAACUACAGAGCCCAUGUAUUCUGGAGCCCAUGCACCACAACUAGAGAGAGAAAACCCACAUGCCACAACUAGAGAGAAGCCUGCAUGCCCCAACAAAGGAUCCCACAUGCAGCAACAAAGAUCCUGUGUGCUGCAACUA
Molecule: non-coding RNA, 771 nt
Organism: Kogia breviceps (pygmy sperm whale)
Lineage: Eukaryota; Metazoa; Chordata; Mammalia; Artiodactyla; Physeteridae
Source: RefSeq, a predicted model, not a curated record